AACGAACGCUGGCGGCAGGCUUAAUACAUGCAAGUCGAGCGCCUCGCAAGAGGAGCGGCUGACGGGUGAGUAACGCGUGGGAACGUACCCUUAUCUUCGGAAUAGCCCUGGGAAACUGGAAGUAAUACCGAAUGUGCCCUCAGGGGGAAAGAUAUAUCGAAUAAGGAUCGGCCCGCGUUGGAUUAGCUGGUUGGUGGGGUCAAGUCCUUCCAAGGCGACGAUCCAUAGCUGGUCUGAGAGAAUGAUCAGCCACAUUGGGACUGAGACACGGCCCGAACUCCUACGGAAGGCGGCAGAGGGGAAUAUUGGACAGUGGGCGCAAGCCUGAUCCAGCCAUGCCGCGUAAAUGAUGAAGGCCGUGGAGUUGUAAAGCUCUUUCACCUAAGAAGAUAAUGACGGUAUCCGGAGAAAAAGCCCCGGCUAACUUCGUG
RNAcentral lists this ribosomal RNA (431 nucleotides) under uncultured bacterium. RNAcentral's name for it is "partial 16S ribosomal RNA". It matches the Rfam family "Bacterial small subunit ribosomal RNA", at positions 29 to 507 of the family's 1533-position model. The record is from RNAcentral.